Molecule: ribosomal RNA, 429 nt
Filed under: Pseudomonadota bacterium
Lineage: Bacteria; Pseudomonadati; Pseudomonadota
Description: Proteobacteria bacterium partial 16S ribosomal RNA
Rfam family: Bacterial small subunit ribosomal RNA
Source: RNAcentral
UGGGGAAUAUUGGACAAUGGGCGAAAGCCUGAUCCAGCCAUGCCGCGUGUGUGAAGAAGGUCUUCGGAUUGUAAAGCACUUUAAGUUGGGAGGAAGGGCAGUAAGCGAAUACCUUGCUGUUUUGACGUUACCGACAGAAUAAGCACCGGCUAACUCUGUGCCAGCAGCCGCGGUAAUACAGAGGGUGCAAGCGUUAAUCGGAAUUACUGGGCGUAAAGCGCGCGUAGGUGGUUCGUUAAGUUGAAUGUGAAAGCCCCGGGCUCAACCUGGGAACUGCAUCCAAAACUGGCGAGCUGGAGUAGGGCAGAGGGUGGUGGAAUUUCCUGUGUAGCAGUGAAAUGCGUAGAUAUAGGAAGGAACACCAGUGGCGAAGGCGACCACCUGGGCUCAUACUGACACUGAGGUGCGAAAGCGUGGGGAGCAAACAGG